This 373-nucleotide ribosomal RNA is filed under the name uncultured bacterium. Its description in RNAcentral is "bacterial SSU rRNA". It matches the Rfam family "Bacterial small subunit ribosomal RNA", at positions 525 to 896 of the family's 1533-position model. The record is from RNAcentral.
ACAUAGGGUGCAAGCGUUGUCCGGAAUUAUUGGGCGUAAAGAGCUCGUAGGUGGUUUGAUACGUCGGGUGUGAAAUUCAGGGGCUCAACCCCUGACCUGCAUUCGAUACGGUCAAGCUAGAGUUUGGUAGGGGAGACUGGAAUUCCUGGUGUAGCGGUGGAAUGCGCAGAUAUCAGGAGGAACACCAAUGGCGAAGGCAGGUCUCUGGGCCAAUACUGACACUGAGGAGCGAAAGUCUGGGGAGCGAACAGGAUUAGAUACCCUGGUAGUCCAGACCGUAAACGGUGGGCACUAGUUGUGGGAACCUUCCACGGUUUCUGCGACGCAGCUAACGCAUUAAGUGCCCCGCCUGGGGAGUACGAUCGCAAGAUUA